UACGUAGGGGGCGAGCGUUGUCCGGAUUUAUUGGGCGUAAAGAGCGUGUAGGCGGCCAGGUAGGUCUGCUGUGAAAACUCGAGGCUCAACCUCGAGACGUCGGCGGAAACCAUCUGGCUAGAGUCCGGAAGAGGAGAGGGGAAUUCCUGGUGUAGCGGUGAAAUGCGCAGAUAUCAGGAAGAACACCCGUGGCUAAGGCGGUUCUCUAGUACGGUACUGACGCUGAGACGCGAAAGCGUGGGGAGCGAACAGG
RNAcentral lists this ribosomal RNA (253 nucleotides) under uncultured bacterium. RNAcentral's name for it is "partial 16S ribosomal RNA". It matches the Rfam family "Bacterial small subunit ribosomal RNA", at positions 524 to 776 of the family's 1533-position model. The record is from RNAcentral.